This 67-nucleotide transfer RNA is filed under the name Haloechinothrix alba. RNAcentral describes it as "Pseudonocardineae bacterium YIM 93221 tRNA". It matches the Rfam family "tRNA". Rfam says of the family: Transfer RNA (tRNA) molecules are approximately 80 nucleotides in length. Their secondary structure includes four short double-helical elements and three loops (D, anti-codon, and T loops). Lineage: Bacteria; Bacillati; Actinomycetota; Actinomycetes; Pseudonocardiales; Pseudonocardiaceae. The record is from Rfam by way of RNAcentral.
GGGGUGGCAGGAGACCAGGAAUGGACUCAUAAUCCAUUGGUCGCGGGUUCAAGUCCCGCCCGGCCCA